RNAcentral lists this long non-coding RNA (1084 nucleotides) under Equus caballus (horse). RNAcentral describes it as "lncRNA (ENSECAG00000045727.1)". The record is from RNAcentral. Lineage: Eukaryota; Metazoa; Chordata; Mammalia; Perissodactyla; Equidae.
CAGCUCUGGUGUUGCUCAGGCAUGGUUCACAUGUGUUUGUGGCAUGGUUGACCCGUGGUUCUGUCAUGGCAGGCAAGUUGUGCCAGUUUGGCUGACACGUGCUUCAAGUGAGGCUGACCUGUGGUUCAAGUGUGACUGGCACUUGGUGUGGCUCCCACGUGACUCACAGGUUGCUGAAACAUGGCUCCCGCAUACUCACUCAUGGCUGGCACAUGGCUCACACAUGGCUCAGAUGUGUUUCAUGUGUGGCUCCAUUGCGGGUCAUGUGUGAUUCAAGCAUUGCACAUGUGUGUUUCACAGGUGGUUCAGAUGUGCUUCAAGGGUGUCUCACAUGUGGUUCAUGCAUGGCUCACACAUGGUUCGGGUGUAAUUCAGGCGUGCCGCUCACACGACUCAUGUGGGUCACAUAUGAUAGAGGACACUUUCACUCGUGAUCAGGCAUAGCUCAGCCAUGGCUCACAUAUGUUGUAGGCAUUCCACAGAACGGGCUCCCAUGUGGCUGAUGCAUGAUUCAGGCUUUUCUCAUGCUUACAUCACACAUUGCUCAUGUGUGGCACAUGCACAGCUAUGGUGUUUUUCAAGUGUGACUCACAUGUGUUUGUGGCAUUGUUGGGACGGGGUUCAGGAAUGGCAGGCAAGUUGUGCCAGUGUGGCUGACACGUGCUUCCAGUGAGGCUGACCUGUGAUUCAAGUGUGACUCACACUUGGUUCAGGCCUGGCUGGCAUGUGACAUCAGAAUGGCUUAGAUGUGCCUCAGGCAUGGCUCACACGAUAUUCAGGCGUGGCUGACAUAUGACUCAGGUCAGGCAGCCACGUGACACAGGCGUGCAUGACACGUCACCUGUGUGUGGUUCACACAUGAUUCGUGCAUGGCCUUCGUGUGGUUCAGGGGUGGCUGGUUCAAGGUUCACCCAUGGGUGGCACAUGGUUCAGGCAUGGCUGACAUGUGACACAGGCAUGUGUGAAACAUUACCUUGGUGUGGCUCACACAUGUGUCAGGCCUGGAUGACACAUGAUUCAGGCAUUCAUCACACAGGUCUCAGGCAUGGCUGACACGUGACUCAGGCAUUCAUUGCAAAAGAUC